This 253-nucleotide ribosomal RNA is filed under the name uncultured bacterium. RNAcentral describes it as "partial 16S ribosomal RNA". It matches the Rfam family "Bacterial small subunit ribosomal RNA", at positions 524 to 776 of the family's 1533-position model. The record is from RNAcentral.
GACAGAGGUGCCGAGCGUUAGGCGGAAUCACUGGGCUUAAAGCGUGUGUAGGCGGAUCUGUAAGUACCUUGUGAAAUCCCACGGCUCAACCGUGGAACUGCUUGGUAUACUGCGGGUCUUGAGCCACCUAGGGGCAAGUGGAACAAACGGUGGAGCGGUGAAAUGCGUAGAUAUCGUUUGGAACGCCAAUGGUGAAAACAACUUGCCGGGGGUGUGCUGACGCUGAGACACGAAAGCCAGGGGAGCAAACAGG